CACACUGGAACUGAUACACGUUCCAUACUCCUACGGGAGGCAGCAGUGGGGAAUAUUGGACAAUGGGGGGAACCCUGAUCCAGCCAUGCCGCGUGUGUGAAGAAGGCCUUCGGGUUGUAAAGCACUUUAAGCGAGGAGGAGGCUACUGAGACUAAUACUCUUGGAUAGUGGACGUUACUCGCAGAAUAAGCACCGGCUAACUCUGUGCCAGCAGCCGCGGUAAUACGUAGGGGGCUAGCGUUAAUCGGAUUUACUGGGCGUAAAGCGUGCGUAGGCGGCUUUUUAAGUCGGAUGUGAAAUCCCUGAGCUUAACUUAGGAAUUGCAUUCGAUACUGGGAAGCUAGAGUAUGGGAGAGGAUGGUAGAAUUCCAGGUGUAGCGGUGAAAUGCGUAGAGAUCUGGAGGAAUACCGAUGGCGAAGGCAGCCAUCUGGCCUAAUACUGACGCUGAGGCACGAAAGCGUGGGGAGCAAACAGGAUUAGAAACCCCUGUAGUCCCACUGU
RNAcentral lists this ribosomal RNA (502 nucleotides) under Escherichia coli. Its description in RNAcentral is "bacterial SSU rRNA". It matches the Rfam family "Bacterial small subunit ribosomal RNA", at positions 309 to 803 of the family's 1533-position model. Lineage: Bacteria; Pseudomonadati; Pseudomonadota; Gammaproteobacteria; Enterobacterales; Enterobacteriaceae. The record is from RNAcentral.